Molecule: ribosomal RNA, 234 nt
Filed under: uncultured bacterium
Lineage: Bacteria
Description: partial 16S ribosomal RNA
Rfam family: Bacterial small subunit ribosomal RNA
Source: RNAcentral
UUCCUACGGGACGCAGCAGUGGGGGAUAUUGCACAAUGGGGGGAACCCUGAUGCAGCGACGCCGCGUGGGUGAAGGAGUGCUUCGGCAUGUAAAGCCCUAUCGGCAGGGAAGAAGCAAGACGGUACCUGACUAAGAAGCCCCGGCUAACUACGUGCCAGCAGCCGCGGUAAUACGUAGGGGGCAAGCGUUAUCCGGAAUUAUUGGGCGUAAAGAGUACGUAGGUGGCAACCUAA